GUGCAGCAGGCGAGAAAACUUCACACUGUGCGAAAGCACGAUGAGGGAAUCCCAAGUGCUUGCACGUAAGUGUAAGCUGUUUCUCUGUUUAAAACGCAGAGAGAGUAAGGGCUGGGUAAGACGGGUGCCAGCCGCCGCGGUAAUACCUGCAGCUCAAGUGGUGACCGUUAUUAUUGGGCCUAAAACGUCCGUAGCCGGUUUAAUAAAUGCCUGGGUAAAUCGUGUAGCUUAACUGUACGAAUUCCGGGUAGACUGUUAAACUCGAGACCGGGAGAAGUUAGAGGUACUCCUGGGGUAGAGGUGAAAUUCUGUAAUCCUAGGGGGACCACCAGUGGUGAAGGCGUCUAACUAGAACGGGUCUGACGGUGAGGGACGAAGCCCUGGGGCGCAAACGGGAUUAGAUACCCCUGUAGU
RNAcentral lists this ribosomal RNA (414 nucleotides) under uncultured microorganism. RNAcentral's name for it is "bacterial SSU rRNA". It matches the Rfam family "Archaeal small subunit ribosomal RNA", at positions 330 to 745 of the family's 1478-position model. The record is from RNAcentral.